UUGGAAGUAUUACCGGGUGUGCUGUUUGAGCAUCCUUGACCAUGGUGACUCGGACAUCAUCACCACCGUUCCUCAGUGAAGACAAGCUUACCUAUCCUAGCCUAAGAUGAUGUAGUGUGGAGAGUCGUGCUUGCAAGGCCGAUGGCCGUCUCUCGUUAUCGAGCCGGAGCUGCCAAAUGCAGUUUCAAACCAAACAUGGCUGUUUUUGUAAGGCAUUCCUAUGGGUUUUGUU
Long non-coding RNA from Triticum aestivum (bread wheat), 232 nucleotides. RefSeq lists it as uncharacterized. The record is from RefSeq and is a predicted model, not a curated record. Lineage: Eukaryota; Viridiplantae; Streptophyta; Magnoliopsida; Poales; Poaceae. The transcript has 2 exons.